CCGGCAAAACUUCUAAAAAAAGAAACGCUACCAAGCACGGUUUCCUUACAAAAUGUUUUGGCAAUAUGUAUGUCGUCACUUCCGUCUAGCCACAUUAGCCACAAUGAAAGCAAUGGGCAAAAGAAGAGAAGAAUUGAGAAAAAAAUUCUAAGAAAAUAAAGCUAUUGGUAGGUUAGUAAAUAUAAAACUUAUUUUCCUUUCCUGAAACAUGAUGUUUAUAGCACAGUUUCAUCAUGUAUUAACCUCACUUCAGUGAAUCUAGAAAGAUUUAUUUUAUGUAAGCUGCAGAGGAUCUCCUCUCCGUCAGCUAGGGUGGUGUAAACUCACCGCAGAAGCUUAAACCUCAAGGUAUAUGGCCACCUUUUUCUUCAUCAAAAACUUUUAGAGAAGUUUUCUAGAUCGAGCCACAACAGCAGUGCAGUUAGUGUUCGUCAGUAAUAAUCUCUGCUAUAACCAAUUUUGACUCAUGAAAAGAUCCAUUCAUAAGACUCUCCUCGAGACUUCAUUUUCCAGCUAGGAAAAUCCCUCAGCUGACAACACAUGGCAAAACCACCUUUAUUUCUCUCCAAGGAUUCUAGGCCAAAGUACCCACAGCCAAAGGCAACAUUCUCUGCAGGACUGAUGAGAGACACUGAAGCCUGAGAACUGUAACAGCCUCUGAAAGUCAUAAACUGACUGAUGUUUCAUCCCACAGGGAAAUGUGACGAAAUGCUCCCCAAUUUGCCUCUGAUGAGCUUACAGGGCCCUGUGGCGCCGCCUGCAGCCCCUCUGCCACAACAAAAGGAUGAGCUUGUUCAGGUGACUGAUCCAGGUGGGGGGUGGGGGGUAUAGCAACACCUUUGAAAUGGCCUUUUAGUGGAUUUCAUUCACAGGUAAAAACAAUGACAUCCAACCACUGCAGCAACACUAAAAGGCGCACAAAACUCUUCUCCUGAAGGCUGAAACCAUUCACUCAAAAAUGAAAAUCCACUCAUUGAGCACUCCUCUCCAUGCCAGUGGAAAGAGAGGUGGUGUUUCGUGGUCAACAAAACAUUUCUGGAAUUUCACAGCAAAACAGGGUUGCAGCAUUGUGCUGA
This is a long non-coding RNA of Acanthopagrus latus (yellowfin seabream), 1076 nucleotides long. RefSeq lists it as uncharacterized. The record is from RefSeq and is a predicted model, not a curated record. The transcript is spliced from 4 exons. Lineage: Eukaryota; Metazoa; Chordata; Actinopteri; Spariformes; Sparidae.